CGGGCGGGGCACCCAUGGCGGGGAGUUCCUCCUGCGAGCAGAGUGCCCAUGGACCGGCACCGAGCUGCGGGCCGUGCGGCUUGCACUGCGGCUGGAAGGAGAUCCAGGCUGCGCAUCCGUCUCCAGAGCCGCGAGACAAGCCUGCUGUGCAAGAUUCCCUCUGUGCCUGGACUUCUUCCAGGAAAGGAAUCCUGAGUGGAAUCCCGUGUCCUGCACCACCACCUGACAAACAUUUUGGACAAAAUCUUGGACUAGGCAACCUGCAGAACCAGCCCUGCCAGCUUAAAGAAUGCCAGUACUGCUAUCUGUAAUAUUCUGUGUAAAUUCACAUUGUUAGUCUGUAAAAACUAGCGGUAUCAAAAAGUUGCUUUAACAGUUCAAAGCAGGCACUGCACAGAUAGGAGAUAUUCCCUAUAUGUAUGUAUUGGGGUUUUUGUUGGAGGUUUUCUUUAGCACUUUACCUAAGAGCGGAGAUGACCAAAGCCACUGUUUUCCUGAUGCUUUUCUUGGAUUCAGAAACACCAGGAGACAACUGACUCAAAGGAAAAGGAGUGACCCACCCCAGAUCUCUUCUCACACCCUACCUUAGGCUGGCCUAGGGAAAGGCUGCAAAGCAGAAGUAACAGUAACACUGAACUGGAGGCACAGGACAAAAUAAGAAAGUGGUUUUUGAACGCCUGAA
Long non-coding RNA from Cyanistes caeruleus (blue tit), 682 nucleotides. RefSeq lists it as uncharacterized. NCBI's taxonomy places the organism in Eukaryota, Metazoa, Chordata, Aves, Passeriformes, Paridae. The record is from RefSeq and is a predicted model, not a curated record.